UGGGGAAUAUUUCACAAUGGGGGAAACCCUGAUGCAGCGACGCCGCGUGAGCGAAGAAGGUUUUCGAAUCGUAAAGCUCUGUCCUAUGAGAAGAUAAUGACGGUAUCAUAGGAGGAAGCCCCGGCUAAAUACGUGCCAGCCGCCGCGGUAAUACGUAUGGGGCGAGCGUUGUCCGGAAUUAUUGGGCGUAAAGGGUACGUAGGCGGUCUAUUAAGUCAGGUGUGAAAACGUGAGGCUUAACCGCAUUAAGCACUUGAAACUGAUAGACUUGAGUGAAGGAGAGUAAAGUGGAAUUCCUAUUGUAGCGGUGAAAUGCGUAGAUAUUAGGGGGAAUACCGGUGGCGAAGGCGACUUACUGGGCUAAUUCUGACGCUGAGGAACGAAAGCGUGGGUAGCAAACAGG
RNAcentral lists this ribosomal RNA (403 nucleotides) under Verrucomicrobiota bacterium. RNAcentral describes it as "Verrucomicrobia bacterium partial 16S ribosomal RNA". It matches the Rfam family "Bacterial small subunit ribosomal RNA", at positions 355 to 776 of the family's 1533-position model. Lineage: Bacteria; Pseudomonadati; Verrucomicrobiota. The record is from RNAcentral.